AUUUUUUUCAGAGAUACCUAAAUUAAGUUAUCCUGUUGACUGAACAUUAUGUUCCCUAACAUAUUAUGCUGUCUAUAAAAAUAAAGGUGUAAAAGAACUCUGAGAUACAUAUUUAUAGCCCAGCAAAGGAGGAGAAAGGAAGACAUGAAAAGGUAACAGGAGACGAAACCAACAGGCACUUGUAAGAGAUGAAAGAAGGUUACGUCAAAAAGGAAGAGAACCUAAUUGAUGUCAAAAUAGGCCAUACUGUACGAUCGUUGACAGCCUCGUUUUCAUUGUUAUCAGGUGUUUAGCAGAAUAAUUUUGUGGUUUAUUGUCCCUAACCUUUGUACUGAGAGAGGAAUUCCAGUCUUGUUUGUGUUUUAAUGUCAUAUUAAAAAACAGAAAUGAUGAAGAACAGAUGUGCACCAGUAUCAAGGUUAAGAUGCUGAACCUCUUAGUUUCCAUGGCGAUAUAGAUUUCCGUGAUGGAAGGAUGGGUAACAGCAAGCCUGACGUCCAUAGAUUGUAACGUAUUGUUGCCGAUUCUGAUUGACACUGCUGGAUUUUUUACGACUGGGUUGAGCACUUAAUUGAAAAAGUGUCAUCUUAAAGAUUAUUGCAUAUGAAUUGUAUUUAAAACAGUAAAUACAAUACUCCUACAUAGAAUUGUUUAGUGGAAUUUCAAAUAUCUCAAACUGAUUUGUAUUGGAUAUAUUGAGUAUUUCUGACUCAGUACACUUCCGACUAAUUGUGAAAAUUUUAAUUGGAAACUAACCAUACUAGAUUUUCUCAUGGUUUGAAUCAGCCACAAAAUUUUUCUGGAAGAUCUACUGCU
Long non-coding RNA from Mytilus trossulus (common blue mussel), 816 nucleotides. RefSeq lists it as uncharacterized. The transcript has 5 exons. The record is from RefSeq and is a predicted model, not a curated record. NCBI's taxonomy places the organism in Eukaryota, Metazoa, Mollusca, Bivalvia, Mytilida, Mytilidae.